Molecule: long non-coding RNA, 562 nt
Organism: Gorilla gorilla gorilla (western lowland gorilla)
Lineage: Eukaryota; Metazoa; Chordata; Mammalia; Primates; Hominidae
Exons: 2
Source: RefSeq, a predicted model, not a curated record
GAUACAGUGAUGAGUUUGGUCCCCUUUCCCUUCCUCUCUCAUGCUCUCUUGUCCCUCCACUUCUGCUGCAGGAUGACACAGCAAGAAGGCCCUCACCAGAUGCUGAGCAGAUGCUGGCACCAUGCCUGUGGACUUCCCAGCCUCCAGAACUGUAAACGCUGCAUUUCUACAACAGCCACCUGUGCAGGCCCUGCAUGCUCUGUAACCUGGGGAUUUGGUCUUCUGAAAAGGGCACCAGAGAAAAACUGCUCUUAAGCCUCUGUUAACUGACACAGCAGUAGAACUCCAAGGUGUUGAUCCUUGGAUUCAUGUUUCUCAACUUCAGAGACACACAUCACUCCUUCCUGACCACUGGGCAUCCAUCCCACCAGGAGCUCCUAAUCUGAGAGCUGUUAGAAAUCCUCCAAAAGUGCUGACUGCAGAAGUUGGUAGCUUCUGCUCAAGAUGAGAGAACAAGAUUAACUUUUGUAUUCUUCAGCACCUUUUUUAUUUUCCAUUAUCACACUUUGAUACCCUCUAAAACAUUAAAACACCUUCUAGAGUGCUUAUGUGAUCAACUUGA